Molecule: transfer RNA, 72 nt
Filed under: Camelus ferus (Wild Bactrian camel)
Lineage: Eukaryota; Metazoa; Chordata; Mammalia; Artiodactyla; Camelidae
Rfam family: tRNA
About the family: Transfer RNA (tRNA) molecules are approximately 80 nucleotides in length. Their secondary structure includes four short double-helical elements and three loops (D, anti-codon, and T loops).
Source: Rfam by way of RNAcentral
GUAUAUAUAACUCAGUGAUAGAGUGUGUGCUUAGCAUGCACGAGGUCCUGGAUUCAAUCCCCCGUACCUUCA